AUGCAGCCAUGGCUGAAGGCGUAUCCCUUAAAGGCGGCAGCAGCAUUUUUAUGUGAGGGUUUUUCCUGCGGUUUUCGCAUACCGGCGCAAGGUCCCAGAACCGCAUUCACCUCAGGCAAUUUAAAAUCGGCAGCGCAAAUGCCUGAGGUCCUUAGCAACAAAAUUGCCAAGGAAUUAGAGGCAGGCAGGAUCGCAGGACCUUUCCAGGCGCCACCUCUCGAGAACUUUCGAGUUUCCCCGCUAGGGGUGGUGCCUAAGAAGGCGCCGGGCGAAUACCGUCUUAUCCACCAUCUAUCUUACCCAAAGGGUUCAUCUGUCAACGAUGCCAUUCCCCCUGAGCUCUGUUCAGUCAAAUAUGCCUCAUUUGACCAAGCUGUCAACUUAGUACUCAAAAAAGGUCCGCACGCCCUCAUGGCAAAAUGUGACAUCCAGUCCGCAUUCAGGCUACUCCCCGUCAACCCGGCGGACUUCAACUUGCUGGGAUUUAAAUUUAAUGAGGAAUGGUAUUUUGAUAAAGCAAUGCCCAUGGGCUGCGCAGUCAGCUGUGCUGCCUUCGAAACAUUCAGUUCCUUUUUGGAAUGGGUGGCGCGCACCUUUGCUCGUUCCAAGUUUAUUACUCACUACCUCGAUGAUUAUCUUUUUGUGGGCGCCAGGGACAGUGACGAAUGCGCACACCUUCUCCGGACAUUCAGGGCUAUGGCCAUGGUUUUCGGCAUACCAUUGGCGAAAGAAAAGACCGAGGGCCCCUCCACCAGCAUCACCUACUUAGGUAUACAACUAGAUUCCAUUCGGGGCGUAUCCCGCCUGCCUGAGGACAAACUGUCCAAGCUAAAAGGACUGGUGGGCGAGGCCAUAGGCAAGAAAAAGGUCACGCUAAAGGAAUUGCAGGCCAUUUUAGGGCACCUCAACUUUGCCUGCAAAGUUGUGUCACCAGGGAGGCCUUUCUGUGCACGUUUAGCGCGGGCAACCGCGGGGAUCAGCGCACCGCAUCACCGUAUUAGAAUCAUGCAAGGGAUGCGGGACGACCUGAAGGUAUGGUUGGAAUUUUUGGACAGGUUCAACGGUAUUGCCAUUUGGCAGGAAAGAUGGGAGCCAGGGAAUGAACUCCAGGUUCACUCCGAUGCAGCGGGCAGCAGCGGCUUCGGAGUAUUUCUGCAAGGGCACUGGUGCGCGGCCAGGUGGCCUGACAGUUGGGCGGGAGGAAACAUACUGCGGGACCUCACCUUCCUUGAGUUUUUUCCCAUAUUAGUGGCCGUGCGAACCUGGACCAACCUCUUCAGGAACAAGAGAGUGCGAUUUUGGUGUGACAAUCAGGCCGUGGUCAGGGUCAUCAACAAACAGACAUCAAAAUCUCCUAGGGUCAUGAGGCUUGUGAGGCAAUUUGUACUAACUUGCUUGGAAGCUAACAUCACUUUCUUAGCUCAAUAUAUUCCAGGUGUUCACAAUGAAGUAGCGGAUGCAUUGUCCCGUUUCCAGGACGACAGGUUUCGGUCGCUAGCACCAGAAGCAGACCUCCAGCCCACCAUUUUCCCACAGGAGCUGUGGACCCUUGGAGAGGAGAAGCCUGGUCAGAACUAA
Long non-coding RNA from Anolis carolinensis (green anole), 1578 nucleotides. The record is from Ensembl. Lineage: Eukaryota; Metazoa; Chordata; Lepidosauria; Squamata; Anolidae.